RNAcentral lists this ribosomal RNA (200 nucleotides) under uncultured bacterium. Its description in RNAcentral is "partial 16S ribosomal RNA". It matches the Rfam family "Bacterial small subunit ribosomal RNA", at positions 28 to 241 of the family's 1533-position model. The record is from RNAcentral.
GAUGAACGCUAGCGGCAGGCUUAAUACAUGCAAGGCGGGGGGGCAGCAAUGUCACCGUCGUACGGGUGCGUAACGCGUAUGCAACCUACCUUCAACUGGGGGAUAGCCCGGGGAAACCCGGAUUAAUACCGCAUAACACAAUGAGGUCUCAUGGUUUUAUUGUUAAAGAUUUGUUGGUUGAAGAUGGGCAUACGUUCGAU